UACAGAGGAUGCAAGCGUUAUCCGGAAUGAUUGGGCGUAAAGCGUCUGUAGGUGGCUUUUUAAGUCCGCCGUCAAAUCCCAGGGCUCAACCCCGGGAGGCGGGUGGAUACUGUCAAGCUCGAGUCCGGAAGAGGCGAGUGGAAUUCCUGGUGUAGCGGUGAAAUGCGCAGAUAUCAGGAGGAACACCAAUGGCGAAGGCAGCUCGCUGGGACGUGACUGACGCUGAGACGCGAAAGCGUGGGGAGCAAACAGG
Molecule: ribosomal RNA, 253 nt
Filed under: uncultured bacterium
Lineage: Bacteria
Description: partial 16S ribosomal RNA
Rfam family: Bacterial small subunit ribosomal RNA
Source: RNAcentral